UGCNCCCNGAGAGGGUUCGGCCCUCGGCUGACGGCUCNNUAACACGUGGAUAAUCUGCCCUUAGGUGGAGGAUAAUCUCGGGAAACUGAGAAUAAUACUCCAUAGAUCUGGGAUGCUGGAAUGCACUCAGAUUGAAAGCUCUGGCGCCUAAGGAUGAGUCUGCGGACUAUCAGGUAGUAGUCAGGGUAAAGACCUGACUAGCCUAUGACGGAUACGGGUUGUGAGAGCAAUAACCCGGAGACGAUAUCUGAGACACGAUAUCGGGCCCUACGGGGUGCAGCAGGCGCGAAAACUUCACACUGUGCGAAAGCACGAUGAGGGGACCCCAAGUGCUUGCUCGUAAGAGUAAGCUGUUUUUUUGUCUAAAACACANAGAGAGUAAGGGCUGGGUAANACGGGUGCCAGCCGCCGCGGUAAUACCUGCAGCUCANGUGGUGACCAUUNUUAUUGGG
RNAcentral lists this ribosomal RNA (452 nucleotides) under uncultured euryarchaeote. RNAcentral's name for it is "bacterial SSU rRNA". It matches the Rfam family "Archaeal small subunit ribosomal RNA", at positions 52 to 508 of the family's 1478-position model. The record is from RNAcentral. Lineage: Archaea; Methanobacteriati; Methanobacteriota.